AUUGAACGCUGGCGGCAUGCCUUACACAUGCAAGUCGAGCGCGAAAGGGGGCAACCCCGAGUAGAGCGGCGGACGGGUGAGUAACACAUCGGAACGUGCCCAGUAGUGGGGGACAACCUCGGGAAAUCGAGGCUAAUACCGCAUACGACCCACGGGUGAAAGCGGGGGACCGCAAGGCCUCGCGCUAUUGGAGCGGCCGAUGUCCGAUUAGCUAGUUGGCGGGGUAAGAGCCCACCAAGGCGACGAUCGGUAGCUGGUCUGAGAGGACGACCAGCCACACUGGGACUGAGACACGGCCCAGACUCCUACGGGAGGCAGCAGUGGGGAAUUUUGGACAAUGGGGCAACCCUGAUCCAGCCAUGCCGCGUGCAGGAAGAAGGCCUUCGGU
This 388-nucleotide ribosomal RNA is filed under the name uncultured bacterium. RNAcentral's name for it is "bacterial SSU rRNA". It matches the Rfam family "Bacterial small subunit ribosomal RNA", at positions 29 to 422 of the family's 1533-position model. The record is from RNAcentral.